GACAGAGGGUGCAAACGUUGUUCGGAAUUACUGGGCGUAAAGCGCGUGUAGGCGGCUAAGUAAGUCGGGCGUGAAAUCCCACGGCUCAACCGUGGAAGUGCACUCGAAACUGCAUAGCUAGAGUCCUGGAGAGGAAGGUGGAAUGCUUGGUGUAGAGGUGAAAUUCGUAGAUAUCAAGCGGAACACCGGUGGCGAAGGCGGCCUUCUGGACAGUGACUGACGCUGAGACGCGAAAGCGUGGAGAGCAAACAGG
This 253-nucleotide ribosomal RNA is filed under the name uncultured bacterium. RNAcentral's name for it is "partial 16S ribosomal RNA". It matches the Rfam family "Bacterial small subunit ribosomal RNA", at positions 524 to 776 of the family's 1533-position model. The record is from RNAcentral.